GUGGGGAAUAUUGGGCAAUGGGGGAAACCCUGACCCAGCGACGCCGCGUGAGGGAAGAAGGCCUUAGGGUCGUAAACCUCUGUUGUGUGGGAAGAAGAGCGUGACGGUACCACACGAGGAAGUCCCGGCUAACUACGUGCCAGCAGCCGCGGUAAUACGUAGGGGACGAGCGUUGUCCGGAUUUACUGGGCGUAAAGGGCGCGUAGGCGGUCAUUUAAGUCAGCUGUGAAAUGGUUUGGCUUAACCGGAUCAUGCGGUUGAAACUGGAUGACUGGAGUGCUGGAGAGGCAAGUGGAAUUCCCAGUGUAGCGGUGAAAUGCGUAGAUAUGGGGAAGAACACCGGUGGCGAAGGCGACUUGCUGGCCAGCAACUGACGCUGAGGCGCGAAAGCCAGGGGAGCAAACGGGAUUAGAAACCCCAGUAGUCC
This 427-nucleotide ribosomal RNA is filed under the name uncultured bacterium. RNAcentral describes it as "partial 16S ribosomal RNA". It matches the Rfam family "Bacterial small subunit ribosomal RNA", at positions 354 to 796 of the family's 1533-position model. The record is from RNAcentral.